GACGAACGCUGGCGGCGUGCUUAACACAUGCAAGUCGAACGGAAAGGCCCUGCGUUUGUGGGGUGCUCGAGUGGCGAACGGGUGAGUAACACGUGAGUAACCUGCCCUUGACUUUGGGAUAACUUCAGGAAACUGGGGCUAAUACCGGAUAGGAGCUCCUGCUGCAUGGUGGGGGUUGGAAAGUUUCGGCGGUUGGGGAUGGACUCGCGGCUUAUCAGCUUGUUGGUGGGGUAGUGGCUUUCCAAGGCUUUGACGGGUAGCCGGCCUGAGAGGGUGACCGGCCACAUUGGGACUGAGGUACGGCCCAGACUCCUACGGGAGGCAGCAGUGGGGAAUAUUGCACAAUGGGCGGAAGCCUGAUGCAGCAACGCCGCGUGCGGGAUGACGGCCUUCGGGUUGUAAACCGCUUUCGCCUGUGACGAAGCGUGAGUGACGGUAAUGGGUAAAGAAGCACCGGCUAACUACGUG
RNAcentral lists this ribosomal RNA (468 nucleotides) under uncultured bacterium. Its description in RNAcentral is "partial 16S ribosomal RNA". It matches the Rfam family "Bacterial small subunit ribosomal RNA", at positions 28 to 507 of the family's 1533-position model. The record is from RNAcentral.